UGCAAACAGAAGGGCAAAAACUGUUCUGUCUCCUGCUAAGGAAAAAUCCUACAAAAGGGAAUCAAUCAAUGUGAAUUCUGCUGAAGGACUGAGAAUUGGCUGUCUAUUUGCAUUUGCUGGGAGAGAGAGAGCUUUGUGUCCACAACCAGUGGAACCAGCAAUGGUGUAAAAAUAAUUCCAGGCGUUUGAGGCUUAUUAGAAUGACAUAGGCCUCCUUCUUCCGGAAUUAAAGUGUAUUAGGACCAUUUAUCUCAUUUGAGGAGACAGGAAGGUGCUCGUGGGAGGUGAAGAAUAUGUAUCACACUUCCUCUCUUAUGGUUUUGGUGUUAAAGACUGAAUAUUGAGGUCAGGGAAUUAAAUGCUAUUGUGGAGAUGUCAGAUACUAAAGGAGCACGUUCUAUCAUUUUGACUGCAGUACUUAUGAAAGAGAUAUAUUCUUGUCCACAGAAAAUGCGUUCCUUUUUUCUUUUUCUUUUCACAGGGCUUGAGAAAUAACUUCAGAAACGGAAUCUUGGGACCUAAAAACACAUGUAUUUCCUUUGAGCGGUAGGCACAUGUCCUGAGAGAUGUGUUGAUGUUUUUACAGGGGGGUGAGGCCAUAGGAAAUGGGCAAGACUCUUACCAGAAUGCUGUACAUGUGAGAGGAACAUGUAAAUCCAGGAAGCCUGCUCUGAAGAGGCAGUGCCUUUUAAUAUGUGCAGUUAUUGACAAUAUCACAGUCAUUGAUCAAUUUUAAUCUGACCUUUAACCUUAAACCCCUUUCUUUUAUGUUCCCCUUCCUCAGUGCCUCUCAUCCUACCUGAAGGACUCCUUAAUUCUUGAGUUACUAGGAAGAUAGUUUUCACUUGUGAUUCUGUUUUAAUCUUUGAAACUUUAUAAUUAGACUCAAAUGGUCCUGUAAGGAAGGUGGUCUGUUGAACAUAUAGCUGGGCUAAAAAUUAUAACUAAGUGGAAAAAAAAUGGGUAAGAGUGACGUGGGCCAUCAGAUACAGCUAUUCCCUGGGAGUAUGGAGUAAGCACAAGUUAGAUUCUGCAGAAACGCUCAAUCUCAUGAAGUUCAUGACAUUUCAUGCAUUUCUGAUGAGCCUCAUUUUUCUGCCUUGCUCCAGGAGCAUGGAAAAAAAGUUAUAUAUUUGGCCUCAUCUGUGACGAACUUAAGUAGCUUUAAAUGAUCAUGUUGAUUAGUCUACCUUGUUUUGAUAACUGGAAGGGCUAGAACCAUCUAGAAGCCCGAAGACUGAUGGUACCCAAAGCUAGUUGAUGGUCAAAAUCUAUUUUAAAAAAUAGAUUCCUAGGUCUUUUCCUCAGGAAUUCUACUUCCCAGGUUUGGGGAUGAGGCAAUUUUAAAAGACUCCCCAGACUGCUAUAAUGAUGAGCCAGGUUUGGAAACCAAGAACCUAAUGAAGACCAUUAGAACACAGGAGGAAUAUGCCAAGGCCCAUGUCAUGCCCACCUUGGGAUCAAGGAAAGCAAUCCCAGGGGAAGUUCCCAGGUGAUUUUGCUGUGCAGCCUGGUGGAGCACCAGCCUCCGAGGGAAUCAGAGCCACAGGGAGGCCAGGCCCACUCAUUCUCUCUCCUGAAAGUGGCAGUUUCACGAGAGAAGUAGGAUGAGAAAUGAAACCACAUUUGCAAGUUAUAUUCAAAACAGAAAAGGAGUGAGUCAGUGUUUCUUAAAUAUUUAGAUCCACGGCCUGUCAUGCAGUUCCAGUUUUAAGCAACGCCAGUUUAAAACUCCUUGGUGGUUUCUCACCUAGUCUCUGACUUUGAUAAACCUCUCACUGUUUCGAUUUCCUGACUCAUAGGGAUGUCUGCAAGAGUGAGGUGAUAAUGACUGAAACGGGGAGGAGAUGAGGUUCAGGGGAGUGAAGAGGGUGUGGGAAGCUGGAGCAGGCUUGCAGACUGACAGCCAGGCAUGAAGCUGAAACCACUCUGCUCCAAAUCGCUCGUUCUGAAGGGCCACGGAGCACUCCAUUCCCCCAAAACUGCACCACGGGAGAAAGAGACUGAGGCUGCAUAUUCUGACUGGGACCGUGGGGCAGGGGGACAGCUCUACUGAAGGCAUCCCCCUCCCCGCCAGGGACCAGAGCCAAGUAUGCAGAGAGAAGCAGGGCGGGAAACUACAGGGGUAAGCCAGGAGAUCAAUGGCUUUGAAAAAUACAGUGACAACCACCAGUAGCAGGGGCUGGGUCUGAGGGGGAAAAAAAACGGAGACAUGACCCUUGUCCUCAAAGAGUUUAUGGUUUAGCAGGGAAGAGAAUAUUUUGUCAAAAAUCACUCUACUGCCAGCUUUGCUCCUGCUACCUGUGUUAGACAACUAAUAUUGGAACUUAUGAAAACUAGAAAAAAUGCCAACCUUCAGAAGAGUCAGUAUUCCUAUUUGUAAAACAGGUACAAAGCACAUGCUGCAAGGCUGUUUAAAAAAAUUAUAUAUAUAAAAUUAUAUUAAAUAUAUUUAUAUAUUAUAUAACAUAUGUUUAUAUAUUAUUUAGUAUAUUAUAUAUAUAUUAGUUGUUGAUGGACCUUUAUUUUAUUCAUUUAUUUAUACAUGGUGCUGAGAAUCAAACCCAGGACCUCACUCAUGCUAGGCAAGUGCUGUACCACUGAGCCACAGUCCUAGCCCUGCAAGGUUGUUUUGAGACUUAAACAAUACAACAUAUCCACGAAGAGUCUGGAAGGCAGUGGAGGUAUAAUGAACAGGUUGUGUCCCUUUCUGAGGAAGGAAGGAUGGUGUUUUAGUCAGCUUUUCAUUGCUGUGACUAAAAGACCCGACAAGAACAACCUAGAGGAUAAAAAGUUCAUUGGCUCAUGGUUUCACAGGUUCAGUCCGUGGUUGGCUGACUCCACACCUCUGGGCCCGAGGUAAGGCAGAAUAUCAUGGCAGAAGGGAGUGAUGGAGUUCAUGACAGCCAGGAAGCAGAGUUCCACUCACCAGGGACAAAAUAUAAACCCCAAAGUCACAGCCCCGGCGAAUUUCCUCCUCCAGCCACACCGCACCAUCCAGUUACCAGCAGUUAAUCCCCAUCAGUGGCUUCAUCAACCAAGGCCAAAGCUCUCACAACCUAAUUAUUUCACCUCUGAACAUUGUUGCAUUGUUUUGCACAUGAGCUUUUGUGGAUACCUCAUAUCUAAACCAUAACAGAAGGUAUUUUCUAGAGAGUGAUAGGACACCGUUUGUGAAGGAGGCUGAAUUUGAGCUAAGGUUUAGAAAUUAAUAGAGAUAGAUAGAUAUUGAGCCACAUGUUG
Molecule: long non-coding RNA, 3243 nt
Filed under: Marmota monax (woodchuck)
Lineage: Eukaryota; Metazoa; Chordata; Mammalia; Rodentia; Sciuridae
Source: RNAcentral